Molecule: ribosomal RNA, 515 nt
Filed under: uncultured bacterium
Lineage: Bacteria
Description: bacterial SSU rRNA
Rfam family: Bacterial small subunit ribosomal RNA
Source: RNAcentral
ACCGGAUCGGCGGUGAAAGUCGUCUUCUCUUCGGAGCCGGUGCACAGGUGCUGCAUGGCUGUCGUCAGCUCGUGUCGUGAGAUGUUGGGUUAAGUCCCGCAACGAGCGCAACCCUCGCCCUCUGUUGCCAUCGGGUAAUGCCGGGCACUCUGAGGGGACUGCCCCGGUGAACGGGGAGGAAGGUGGGGAUGACGUCAAGUCCUCAUGGCCUUUAUGCCCAGGGCUACACACGUGCUACAAUGGCCAGGACAAAGGGCUGCUACCUCGCAAGGGGACGCAAAUCCCAAAAACCUGGUCUCAGUUCGGAUGGUCGGCUGCAACUCGCCGGCCUGAAGCUGGAAUCGCUAGUAAUCGGAGAUCAGCACGCUCCGGUGAAUACGUUCCCGGGCCUUGUACACACCGCCCGUCACACCACGAAAGCUGCGUGUACCAGAAGUCGCUGGGCCAACCCCGUUAGGGGAGGUAGGUGCCGAAGGUGUGCGUGGUAAUUGGGGUGAAGUCGUAACAAGGUAACC